GAGAAUCCCAGGCGGGCUCCGGCACUCUCCCUGGAUCGACCGACCACCUUUCUAUCUCGUCCCAUGUUGUCACCUCCUCCAGAUAGCGCUGCUCCUUAACACGCUGCUUGGUCCUUUGGUGGUGGGUGAUUCUGUAACGCUCGUCAUUGGAAUGAGGUGAGGACCAAAGCGCAGCGUGGAAAUCUGCCGUUACAUGAUCACCUUCACCUGAGAGAAACAUUGGGAGUGUUCUGUUUCCAUUUGUUUUGAGUCAAAUCUCACCUGAUUGGGUCUGCUGGAUGAUUAGGACUUCUCCCUAAGGAUUAGCCCUCUAACUUCCCGACUCUGCGAUGAGGUCGACAGUGUGAUAGGGAAGUAUAAGCCAAUUAGAAUUUUUUUUUUUUUUAAUUUCUCUUAGAAAUUUGUAUUAGGAACAUUGGUAGUAGUAAUAAUGUGUCAUACAGUAAAUAAUUUGUCUGGAUUUCUUGAAAUGCCUUAACAAAAUUGUUGUUCUGAUCUGUCCUUUCUCG
Oncorhynchus tshawytscha (Chinook salmon) is the source of this 509-nucleotide long non-coding RNA. The record is from Ensembl. Lineage: Eukaryota; Metazoa; Chordata; Actinopteri; Salmoniformes; Salmonidae.